Molecule: long non-coding RNA, 349 nt
Filed under: Mytilus galloprovincialis (Mediterranean mussel)
Lineage: Eukaryota; Metazoa; Mollusca; Bivalvia; Mytilida; Mytilidae
Source: RNAcentral
AAACUAUCAACAUUUACAAAAAUUCACUAAUCAAUACUACAUAAACGGCAAAGUUCCGCCAUAUCAGUUUACUGGAAAAAAAAGUAAUGCUAUUCUUCAUUUGAUAUAGUUGUAGUAAAAAAUUAACCAUCCCCCUUUUGCGCUACCAAUGUGAAACAAAAUCAUUACUGACAACUAACUGAUUAAUUUCAAACAGAUGCCAUAUGCCCCCCCCCCCCCAAAAAAAAAAAAACUGAAAAAAAAAAAACAUAAUCGUUUGCAUGGACAUCAUUUUCAAUCGCAAAUAUCUAUUUAUUCUUUAUAUUCGCUUAUUUGUUUCUCUGUUAUUUGUUUUGUGCAUAAUCAGGCC